RNAcentral lists this non-coding RNA (30 nucleotides) under Homo sapiens (human). Lineage: Eukaryota; Metazoa; Chordata; Mammalia; Primates; Hominidae. The record is from RNAcentral.
UCCCCACGCUCUAUUAAACAGAAAGCCUGC